AUUGAACGCUGGCGGUAUGCCUUAACACAUGCAAGUCGAACGGUAACAGGCUUUCGGGCGCUGACGAGUGGCGGACGGGUGAGUAACGCGUAGGAAUCUGCCUUAUAGUGGGGGACAACGUGGGGAAACCCACGCUAAUACCGCAUACGCCCUACGGGGGAAAGCGGGGGAUCUUAGGACCUCGCGCUAUGAGAUGGGCCUGCGUUAGAUUAGCUAGUUGGUAGGGUAAAGGCCUACCAAGGCGACGAUCUAUAGCUGGUCUGAGAGGACGAUCAGCCACACUGGGACUGAGACACGGCCCAGACUCCUACGGGAGGCAGCAGUGGGGAAUAUUGGGACAAUGGGCGCAAGCCUGAUCCAGCAAUACCGCGUGUGUGAAGAAGGCCCUAGGGUUGUAAAGCACUUUCAAUGGGAGGAAAACCUGCCGGUCAAUACCCGGUAGCUUGACAUUACCUAUAGAAGAAGCACCGGCUAACUCCGUAGCCAGCAGCCG
RNAcentral lists this ribosomal RNA (493 nucleotides) under uncultured bacterium. RNAcentral's name for it is "bacterial SSU rRNA". It matches the Rfam family "Bacterial small subunit ribosomal RNA", at positions 30 to 517 of the family's 1533-position model. The record is from RNAcentral.